UGGGGAAUAUUGGACAAUGGGCGAAAGCCUAAUCCAGCCAUGCCGCGUGUGUGAAGAAGGUCUUCGGAUUGUAAAGCACUUUAAGUUGGGAGGAAGGGCAGUAAGCGAAUACCUUGCUGUUUUGACGUUACCGACAGAAUAAGCACCGGCUAACUCUGUGCCAGCAGCCGCGGUAAUACAGAGGGUGCGAGCGUUAAUCGGAUUUACUGGGCGUAAAGCGUGCGUAGGCGGCUAAUUGAGUCGGAUGUGAAAUCCCCGAGCUUAACUUGGGAAUUGCAGUCGAUACUGGUUAGCUAGAGUGUGGGAGAGGAUGGUAGAAUUCCAGGUGUAGCGGUGAAAUGCGUAGAGAUCUGGAGGAAUACCGAUGGCGAAGGCAGCCAUCUGGCCUAACACUGACGCUGAGGUACGAAAGCAUGGGGAGCAAACAGG
This 429-nucleotide ribosomal RNA is filed under the name Pseudomonadota bacterium. RNAcentral's name for it is "Proteobacteria bacterium partial 16S ribosomal RNA". It matches the Rfam family "Bacterial small subunit ribosomal RNA", at positions 355 to 776 of the family's 1533-position model. The record is from RNAcentral. Lineage: Bacteria; Pseudomonadati; Pseudomonadota.